UGGGGUCAUUUAAUGGGAUUUUGGGAGUGGAAAUUGGGGUCAUUUUAAGGGAUUUCAGGCUGAAUUUCAGGACAGGUUUUGGGGUCAUUUCAUGGGAUUUUGGGCUGGAUUUUGGGGUCAUUUUGUGGCAUUUCAGGCUGGAUUUCAGGACAGAUUUUGGGGUGAUUUAAUUGGAUUUUGGGGUCAUUUAAUGGGAUUUUGGGAGUGGAUUUUGGGGUCAUUUUAAGGGAUUUCAGGCUGGAUUUCUGGACAGAUUUUGGGGUCAUUUCAUGGGAUUUCAGGCUGGAUUUUGGGGUCAUUUUAUGGGAUUUCAGGCUGGAUUUUGGGGUCAUUUAAUGGGAUGUCAGGCUGGAAUUGGGGCAGGAUUUUGGGGUCAUUUCAUGGAAUUUCAGGCUGGAUUUUGAGACAGAUUUCAGAACAAUUCUGCAGAAUCCCAGGAUACAUUUUGGGGUAAUUCCAAGGGAUUUGGGGCUGGAUUUUGGGGUAAUUCCACAACAUUUCAGGGUAGGAUUUUGGGGUAAUUCCACGGGAUUCCAGGGCAGAUUUUGGGGUAAUUCCACGGGAUUUGGGGGUAGGAUUUUGGGGGUAAUUCCACAACAUUUCAGGGUAGGAUUUUGGGGUAAUUCCACGGGAUUUGGGGGUAGGAUUUUGGGGUAAUUCCACGGGAUUUCAGGGAAGAUUUUGGGGUAAUUCCACAACAUUUCAGGGUAGUAUUUUGGGGUAAUUCCACGGGAUUUCAGGGAAGAUUUUGGGGUAAUUCCGCGGGGUUUUGGGGUGGUUUUUGGGGAUUUUGGGUUUCUCAGAGCAUGCCACGCUCGGGGCGUGAGAGUUUGGGGCAAAUCCAGCAGAUUUUGGGGCAAUUCCAAGGGAUUUUGGGAGUGGAUUUUGGGGUCAUUUUGUGUGAUUUCAGACUGGAUUUGGGGCUGGAUUUUGGGGUCAUUUAAUGGGAUUUUGGGAGUGGAAUUUGGGGUGAUUUCAUGGGAUUUUGGGAGUGGAUUUUGGGGUCGUUUUGUGUGAUUUCAGGCUGGAUUUCAGGACAGAUUUUGGGGUCAUUUCAUGGGAUUUUGGGGCUGAAUUUUGGGGUAAUUUUGUGUGAUUUCAGGCUGGAUUUUGGGGUGAUUUAAUGGGAUUUUGGGGUUAAAUUUCAUGGGAUUUCAGGCUGGAUUUUGAGACAGAUUUCAGAACAAUUCUGCAGAAUCUCAGGAUACAUUUUGGG
Molecule: long non-coding RNA, 1216 nt
Filed under: Zonotrichia albicollis (white-throated sparrow)
Lineage: Eukaryota; Metazoa; Chordata; Aves; Passeriformes; Passerellidae
Description: lncRNA (ENSZALG00000009321.1)
Source: RNAcentral